GAUGAAGAACGCAGCAAAAUGCGAUAAGUAAUGUGAAUUGCAGAAUUCAGUGAAUCAUCGAGUCUUUGAACGCACAUUGCGCCCGCCAGUAUUCUGGCGGGCAUGCCUGUUCGAGCGUCAUUUCAACCCUCAAGCACAGCUUGGUGUUGGGACUCGCGUUAAUUCGCGUUCCUCAAAUUGAUUGGCGGUCACGUCGAGCUUCCAUAGCGUAGUAGUAAAACCCUCGUUACUGGUAAUCGUCGCGGCCACGUCGUUAAACCCCAACUUCUGAAUGUUGACCUCGGAUCAGGUAGGAAUACCCGCUGAACUUAAGCAUAUCAAUAAGCGGAGGA
This 332-nucleotide unclassified non-coding RNA is filed under the name soil metagenome. RNAcentral's name for it is "partial contains 5.8S ribosomal RNA, internal transcribed spacer 2, and large subunit ribosomal RNA". The stretch from base 1 to 120 matches the Rfam family "5.8S ribosomal RNA", at positions 35 to 154 of the family's 154-position model. The record is from RNAcentral.